This 328-nucleotide ribosomal RNA is filed under the name uncultured bacterium. RNAcentral describes it as "bacterial SSU rRNA". It matches the Rfam family "Bacterial small subunit ribosomal RNA", at positions 30 to 355 of the family's 1533-position model. The record is from RNAcentral.
AUUGAACGCUGGCGGCAUGCCUUACACAUGCAAGUCGAACGGCAGCGGACCUUCGGUGCCGGCGAGUGGCGAACGGGUGAGUAAUAUAUCGGAACGUACCUUUCAGUGGGGGAGUAACGUAGCGAAAGUUAACGCUAAUACCGCAUAUUCUGUGAGCAGGAAAGACAGGGGAGUCGCAAGACCUUGCGCUGAUUGAGCGGCCGAUAUCAGAUUAGCUAGUUGGUGAGGUAAAGGACUCACCAAGGCGACGAUCUGUAGCGGGUCGUGAGAGGAUGAUCCGCCACACUGGAACUGAGACACGGUCCAGACUCCUACGGGAGGCAGCAGU